This 253-nucleotide ribosomal RNA is filed under the name uncultured bacterium. RNAcentral's name for it is "partial 16S ribosomal RNA". It matches the Rfam family "Bacterial small subunit ribosomal RNA", at positions 524 to 776 of the family's 1533-position model. The record is from RNAcentral.
UACGUAGGGGGCAAGCGUUGUCCGGAAUCAUUGGGCGUAAAGCGCGCGUAGGCGGCCCGGUAAGUCCGCUCUGAAAGUCCAGGGCUUAACCCUGGAAAGCGGGUGGAUACUGCCGGGCUUGAAUCCGGAAGAGGCGAGUGGAAUUCCUGGUGUAGCGGUGGAAUGCGCAGAUAUCGGGAGGAACACCGGUGGCGAAGGCGGCCCCCUGGUUGGAUACUGACGCUGAGACGCGAAAGCGUGGGGAGCAAACAGG